RNAcentral lists this ribosomal RNA (347 nucleotides) under uncultured bacterium. RNAcentral's name for it is "partial 16S ribosomal RNA". It matches the Rfam family "Bacterial small subunit ribosomal RNA", at positions 338 to 699 of the family's 1533-position model. The record is from RNAcentral.
CCUACGGGUGGCAGCAGUGGGGAAUAUUGGGCAAUGGAGGCAACUCUGACCCAGCAACGCCGCGUGAAUGAUGAAGGUCUUCGGAUUGUAAAGUUCUGUGAUGGGGGAUGAACACAAUGACGGUACCCCAAUAGCAAGCUACGGCUAACUACGUGCCAGCAGCCGCGGUAAUACGGAGGUGGCAAGCGUUAUCCGGAAGGACUGGGCGCAAGGGGUGCGUAGGUGGUUUGGUAAGUUGGCGGUGUAAUUCCGGGGCUCAACCUGGGCGCUACCGCCAAAACUAUUAGACUGGAGUGCAGGGGGGGUAAGUGGAAUGCGUGGUGUAGCGGUGGAAUGCGUAGAUAUUA